UCCUACGGGGCGCAGCAGUGAGGAAUAUUGGUCAAUGGCCGGAAGGCUGAACCAGCCAAGCCGCGUGAAGGACGAAGGUGCCAAGCAUUGUAAACUUCUUUUGUCAAGGGACAAAAUCAGGCUCGAGAGCCUGACCGAGGGUACUUGAAGAAAAAGCAUCGGCUAACUCCGUGCCAGCAGCCGCGGUAAUACGGAGGAUGCGAGCGUUAUCCGGAUUUAUUGGGUUUAAAGGGUGCGUAGGCGGACUGUUAAGUCAGCGGUAAAAGCCCGGGGCUCAACCCCGGAACUGCAUUGGAAACUGUUUU
Molecule: ribosomal RNA, 305 nt
Filed under: uncultured bacterium
Lineage: Bacteria
Description: bacterial SSU rRNA
Rfam family: Bacterial small subunit ribosomal RNA
Source: RNAcentral